UGGGGAAUAUUGGACAAUGGGGGCAACCCUGAUCCAGCGACGCCGCGUGUGUGAAGAAGGCCUGCGGGUUGUAAAGCACUUUUAGUGGGGAUGAAAAGCUCAGGGCUAAUACCUCUGGGUCUUGACCUAACCCAAAGAAAAAGCACCGGCUAACUCUGUGCCAGCAGCCGCGGUAAUACAGAGGGUGCGAGCGUUAAUCGGUAUUACUGGGCGUAAAGCGUGCGUAGACGGUUAUGUAAGUCGGGUGUGAAAGCCCCGGGCUCAACCUGGGAAUGCCAUUCGAGACUGCAUAGCUAGGGUGCGGAAGAGGGAAGCGGAAUUUCAGGUGUAGCGGUGAAAUGCGUAGAUAUCUGAAGGAACACCAGUGGCGAAAGCGGCUUCCUGGUCCAGCACCGACGUUCAGGCACGAAAGCGUGGGGAGCAAACAGGAUUAGAUACCCUGGUAGUCCACGCCAUAAACGAUGAGAACUAGACGUUGAGAGGGUAAGCCUCCCAGUGUCGUAGCUAACGCGCUAAGUUCUCCGCCUGGGGAGUACGGCCGCAAGGUUG
Molecule: ribosomal RNA, 549 nt
Filed under: uncultured bacterium
Lineage: Bacteria
Description: bacterial SSU rRNA
Rfam family: Bacterial small subunit ribosomal RNA
Source: RNAcentral